AGUCAAUGCUCGCAAGAGUGAACUAGCUAACUGAAAUCACAAAAUAACUUAAUUGUGCUUAUUGUGAUAACGUAAGGGAAAAAAAUGAUAUUACCUUACUAUAAGUGUUGUCUAAAUUACUGGUGCCAGAAGACUCGGUAACACCAGAAACGCGAACGUUAGUCGUCUUAAACAGGCGUAAAGGGUGAGUAGGCUGCUUAAAAAUUUCUAAAUUAAAUUAAGCUAUAUAAAAUUAACAUAAAUUAAUUAAAAAUAAUAAAAACCAAAAAAAAAAUUGUAAUUUUAUAUUAUAUUUAAUUUAGAGAAAAUAAAAGCUAGAAUCUUAUUGAGGAUAAACCAAAUAAUGUUUAAGUGUAGGGAUGAUAUCCUUAGAUACUAAAUGGAAUACUAAUGGUGAAGACUUUUUAUCUACUAAAGAUUGACGCUGAGGAACGAAAGUGAGAAUAGGGAAUAGGAUUAGAUACCCAGUUACCUCUCACCGUCAACGAUGAAUGGUAGUUGUUAGUUUAAUAAAAUUGAUAACGAUGUUAACGCGAUAACCAUUCCGCCUUGAGAGUACGGUUGCAAAACUGAAACCAAAAAAAUUAGUCGGUCUCGGAGCAAACGGAGUGAAGCAUGUUAU
Molecule: ribosomal RNA, 622 nt
Filed under: Galerina marginata
Lineage: Eukaryota; Fungi; Basidiomycota; Agaricomycetes; Agaricales; Galerinaceae
Description: partial small subunit ribosomal RNA
Rfam family: Bacterial small subunit ribosomal RNA
Source: RNAcentral